UCCGUGUUAACCACGGCAGUCUCCUUAGAGAGCCCAACUGAAUGCUGGCAACUAAGGACAAGGGUUGCGCUCGUUGCGGGACUUAACCCAACAUGUCACCACACGAGCUGACGACAGCCAUGCAGCACCUGUCUUCUGGUCGUAUUGCUACGAAAGCCGUAUCUCUACGGUUGUCCAGAGAUGUCAAAUCCAGGUAAGGUUCUUCGCGUUGCUUCGAAUUAAACCACAUGAUCCACCGCUUGUGCGGGCCCCCGUCAAUUCCUUUGAGUUUUAGUCUUGCGACCGUACUUCCCAGGCGGGGUACUUAUUGCGUUAGCGCCGGUUCGGCGGGGGUCAAGACCCACCAAACCUAGUACCCAUCGUUUACAGCGUGGACUAC
This 379-nucleotide unclassified non-coding RNA is filed under the name uncultured Oligoflexales bacterium. RNAcentral's name for it is "contains 16S-23S intergenic spacer region". The record is from RNAcentral. Lineage: Bacteria; Pseudomonadati; Bdellovibrionota; Oligoflexia; Oligoflexales.